GCCUCAGUAGCUCAGUCGGUAGAGCGUUGCCUUGGUAAGGCAAAGGUCGCGAGUUCAAUUCUCGCCUGAGGCU
Molecule: transfer RNA, 73 nt
Filed under: Candidatus Altarchaeales archaeon
Lineage: Archaea; Nanobdellati; Candidatus Altarchaeota; Candidatus Altarchaeia; Candidatus Altarchaeales
Description: tRNA-Thr
Rfam family: tRNA
About the family: Transfer RNA (tRNA) molecules are approximately 80 nucleotides in length. Their secondary structure includes four short double-helical elements and three loops (D, anti-codon, and T loops). Further hydrogen bonds mediate the characteristic L-shaped molecular structure. tRNAs have two regions of fundamental functional importance: the anti-codon, which is responsible for specific mRNA codon recognition, and the 3' end, to which the tRNAs corresponding amino acid is attached (by aminoacyl-tRNA synthetases). tRNAs cope with the degeneracy of the genetic code in two manners: having more than one tRNA (with a specific anti-codon) for a particular amino acid; and 'wobble' base-pairing, i.e. permitting non-standard base-pairing at the 3rd anti-codon position.
Source: RNAcentral